CCUAAGAGCAUUUGAAUGAUAUUUCAUUUCAGUCCCUUUCCAUGAUUUCUAUAAUAAUACAGCCUGGUAACAUAUCAUCAAAAUUUGCAUGCUGAUAAGGAAAAAUGCACGCCAAGGAGACUGCCUACUGCAACACUAGAACACUCAGGCUUGCAACAAUAAGAUUGUAAAUUCCAUACUUUACAGCGGCAGUAGCUUGGUAGUAGCCAUUUUUCUUCAAAGGAAAUGUAAGAAUUUUCAUUUUUCAGACAACCAUAGAAUAUUUGACAACAUCUGAUUGAUCCAUAUGAUAACAACAUUCAUGGUAUACUUAAGUCUUAGCAAUCUUAAGACAUAAGAUUAAAAAUACAAGUGAAUGGCUAACCACAACAGUUAUUCUUCUGCUGGAUUGGCUGCCCUUUCAUUUGAACAGUUCCUGUUGACUUACUUGCAGUUGGCUGGCUACCCAUUCUGCAUAGCAUUUACAAUGAAUUAUUUUUCUAAAAAAAAUAAAAAAGAACUGAAAGUACGUAUCAGUAUGAAAACACUCCAUUUCUACAAUAUGGGACAAGAGUGAAUUCACUUUUCACAAGUUCUCCAUGAAUCACUUUUGCAAUGCAUAUUUGCUAUGAUGUUAUUGGUCCACUGAAGGAUAGUUUUGGUUCGGAAAAUUAUAUAAGAUAAUGAUGUUAAAUAUAGCCAAAUGAUAAAUCUAAGCAGGUAAAGAUGGCAACAUAAGUACUUGAACAAUACAUAAUAAUUUCUAAAAAAAAUCAUCAUACACAAAAACAAUAAAGCACAUGGAAAAAGAGCAGCAGGAAAAGUUCAUCAGUAGUUUUACUUUUUCUUAAUUUCUCCGGCCAUGGUCAAGAAAGCCUGCUCCACAUUAAUUGAAUCUUUAGCACUAGUCUCUAGGAAAGGAAUUUCAAGCUCAUCUGCGAAUGCCUGCAUUUUGUUUGGGUACAGGAAAGCAAGAAAAACUUAAACCAGUAAACACCAUAAUCAGAUUACAAUAAGACUAUGUCUUUUUCAAUGUGUCCUUCAAGUAAUCAAAUUCACAGAUAUUCAAUUCAUUCUCUGGGCACAAGUUAUCAAGUUCACCUAAUUCAGGCUAUUCAAUUAACCUCAAAGGUCACUGCUUCAUUGAAAGUUUAAACCAACAAAGAACUCAAAUGCAUCUAAAGAAUCUUUUUAUUCCUUGCAUAUCAAAAUACACAAGCUACAAAUACCUCUUUGAUAUGGAUAUGCUAUGCAAAAAUACACCCUUUAAAAGGAAUUUUCUCACCAUUUCAAGAAAUGUGGCUCAAUGCAUCUUUACCUGUUUCAGUAAGAUUGACCAAGCGUAAAAGCUUUUGUCAAGGAAAUAAGUAAUUAGUAAGAUAUAACAACUGCACAAGCGACCAUUUUUCCAUUUACUAUACGCUAGGAAAUAGGAGCAUGAAUUAAUAGGCAAGUUUAAUACGGUGGCUCAAAAAAGAGUUUCCCACUGUUAAGCACACUUUGUGAGAAGAAAUUAUGAACAAGAGAAUGCAUUUAAGGCAACAAUUGUAACCAGCUAUACCUUUGCAGUUUGCGUGUCCACAACCUUGUUCUCAACUAGAUCACACUUGUUUCCAACUAAAAGUUUGCACACACUAUCAUUUGCAUAUCUAUCAAUCUCAUUUAACCACUGCUUGACAUUGUUGAAGCUCUCCAUCUCGGUAACAUCAUAUACUAUCUGUGAUAAUCGCCAUGCAAAUCACAAAUCUCUUUAUAUGGGAGAUUAAGAAUUGAAACAACAUGAAAACAAAGUAGUACAAACAUACCAUUCAGAAAAUCAUGCCAUAGUAUCCCCCAAUUAUAAUCCUUAUUAUCAAUACAAACAAGUAAAAAGGAUGCAGGCAAAAAGUAAUUUAAAGCAUGGAAGCCAGAAUCAACCAACGUAAAUUAGUAAUCCACAAAAUGCUACAGCAUAAUCAUGUGCUGAUAACAAAGAUACAAGCAUAAGCAGUAAGAAACCCAAGUUCAUUUGAAGCUUAAGUUUAUUUUCUGAAAGCGAUGAAGAAUAAUGGCCAUUUAAUCUAACAAUAAGCCCUGUGGGGAAAAAUAGCGGGGCAGUUUUGGGUGAUAAAUGAUCAAAACCCAUCAAUGGGAAGUCACAGAGAGGCGAAUUGGAGGAGGGGGGAAGGGGUUCAUGAAGCUCUCUGGCUAAAAUCGAUUGUGCAAAGUUGUUAUCACUUAUCACUCAUCUUUAUGUUCUAUAAGUGUUAAUGCAGCCAAAUCUUACUCCUUCAGCCUUCAGGUUAGAAGCAUUUACAUCAUGAAAACCCAGCCUACAACAUGUAAUUUGCAGGGAAGCUAGGAUCUUUCAAAAUUCCAACAUGAUGAUACUACAACGAACCAAGGAUCAAACACAAUAUAAAAUUUUCUGCUUCCAUAUAAUAGCAAGCCAUAAUUUCUUACUAUUAUCCCAUGUGCACCUCGGUAAUAACUACUUGUUAUAGUCCGGAAACGCUCCUGUCCAGCAGUAUCCCACUAAAGAAACAAAUAAAAAAAAAUUAGGUCAAAUUUGAAGUAGAAUCGUGAAAUAUAUUUGGAACAAUAAAAUAAUGCGCAUUUCUUUUCCUGCCAAGUUUAGAGACCCAAAUCUAAUAGUGUUACGUGAUUUCUAGUUUGCCAUGGUACGCGGCAUGGGCAUAGAUAUGGAUACGCAAAUAAUUGGUGAUAUGGUGGGGUAGGUUUAAUUGAUAUACUACAUGGGAUUGCAGUACACUUAAAUAUAUUGCUCAAUUCAUUUUGAAUUAUAUGCAUGAAAAAUAUGUAAUUCAAAGCAACUAAUUUAUAAAAUUUAAGCUAUAUGUGUAUGUAAAAUUCAAAUAAUAAAAAGCAAAAAAGAAUCAAUUAAGUAUUCUAUUUAAUUAAAACAAUUAUUUUUUAUUUCGUAUAUUAUUUCCUAGAAGCAAUACACAUCUCUGAGGAUUUAACCUAAAAUCAUUUAGAGUGGAGAAAGAAAAUCCACAUAGCCGACCCUAAAUUUUUGGGA
RNAcentral lists this unclassified non-coding RNA (3001 nucleotides) under Hevea brasiliensis (rubber tree). Lineage: Eukaryota; Viridiplantae; Streptophyta; Magnoliopsida; Malpighiales; Euphorbiaceae. The record is from RNAcentral.